UUUUAGAUGGCGACCGGCGCACGGGGUGAGUAACACGUAUCCAACCUGCCGAUGACUCGGGGGAUAGCCUUUCGAAAGAAAGAUUAAUACCCCGAUGGCAUAGUUCUUCCGCAUGGUAGAACUAUUAAAAGAAUUUCGGUCAUCGAUGGGGAUGCGUUCCAUUAGUUAGUUGGCGGGGUAACGGCCCACCAAGACAACGAUGGAUAGGGGGUUCUGAGAGGAAGGUCCCCCACAUUGGAACUGAGACACGGUCCAAACUCCUACGGAAGGCAGCAG
RNAcentral lists this ribosomal RNA (276 nucleotides) under uncultured bacterium. Its description in RNAcentral is "partial 16S ribosomal RNA". It matches the Rfam family "Bacterial small subunit ribosomal RNA", at positions 82 to 354 of the family's 1533-position model. The record is from RNAcentral.